UUAGCAGAAGCCAAAAAGAGGCAUAUUAUUGUUAAUAAUAAAAUUGAGAGAUCCUGUUAUU
RNAcentral lists this transfer RNA (61 nucleotides) under Metacrangonyx remyi. RNAcentral describes it as "transfer RNA Asparagine". Lineage: Eukaryota; Metazoa; Arthropoda; Malacostraca; Amphipoda; Metacrangonyctidae. The record is from RNAcentral.